CCGGCGAUCUUUUCUCUGAGGCAACCAAAGGAAGCCCAAUUGACGGUCCCUUAUGACGGCGACGAUCAAACCGGCGGCGGCUAACACGGCGGCGGCCAGUGGUAAGGGAAACCCAGAUGUCGAACCCCACUUCAUUUGAGACGAUAAGUAGUUCCGGAUCAUUGAUUCAAUUCAAGUAAUUUGCCUUUACAGCUGCUUCUUUUUGGCGGCGAAGUCGACGGCUUUAGGAUUCGGGGAGACUUGGUUGGAAUCGGGAACUUAGAAUCUUAUAGAACUAGGGAAUCCCUACAGAAAUUAAUUAAUAAGAAGAGAACAUGAUACUUCCUUUGGGUUGUAUCAAGUGAGCUUCUUUCUUUCAUAAAAUUUCUUGUGUAGGAUUAGGAUUUUUUAUUACCAAAUACUUAGUAUCAGGAU
Molecule: long non-coding RNA, 414 nt
Filed under: Linum usitatissimum (flax)
Lineage: Eukaryota; Viridiplantae; Streptophyta; Magnoliopsida; Malpighiales; Linaceae
Description: long non-coding RNA (LUSI_LNC001621)
Source: RNAcentral